CAGUAGCCGCGGGAAUACGGAGGGAGCUAGCGUUGUUCGGAAUUACUGGGCGUAAAGCGCGCGUAGGCGGUUACUCAAGUCAGAGGUGAAAGCCCGGGGCUCAACCCCGGAACUGCCUUUGAAACUAGGUGACUAGAAUCUUGGAGAGGUCAGUGGAAUUCCGAGUGUAGAGGUGAAAUUCGUAGAUAUUCGGAAGAACACCAGUGGCGAAGGCGACUGACUGGACAAGUAUUGACGCUGAGGUGCGAAAGCGUGGGGAGCAAACAGGAUUAGAUACCCCAGUAGUCCCUGUCUCUUAACA
RNAcentral lists this ribosomal RNA (301 nucleotides) under uncultured bacterium. Its description in RNAcentral is "partial 16S ribosomal RNA". It matches the Rfam family "Bacterial small subunit ribosomal RNA", at positions 509 to 808 of the family's 1533-position model. The record is from RNAcentral.